Molecule: long non-coding RNA, 701 nt
Organism: Eutrema salsugineum
Lineage: Eukaryota; Viridiplantae; Streptophyta; Magnoliopsida; Brassicales; Brassicaceae
Exons: 2
Source: RefSeq, a predicted model, not a curated record
AUCCGUUAAAAGGUUGUACUAGUUAACCACCAAAAUUCUCAGAACAAAAAAAAAUACAGGUCAUGACGAAACCUGAAGGAAAAGUGUUAUGAAUGUUGCAAGGCCUUAAAGGUGUUGAAACUAGCUACUGCCGUGGAAACAAAGAGAAGCUGACAAGCUGAAGAGGCAAAUUUAUGGCGUGUUAUUUACUUCUUCUCUGGUCUUAGAACUAAACUCUGUUUUUCUCUUCCUCAUCCUCACUAAUGAUAAAACAAAAACCCUGAAGAUUUUUUGAAAAUAUGAAAGUAUUAUUGCGAAAAUAUUAUAGAUCAAAACAGAAAAUAUGAAGAGCUUUCGAAAAUAUGAAGGUAUCAAUCUUAGAACCCUCCUCCUCUUCCCAAGGAUCGAGUUCAUGGAGAACCAUUUGUUGCAAACCCAUCGAAAGAUGCUGAAAUGGACAAGAUCUUGAGAUCUAUGCAGGUGAAAUAUGAUGACUUCAAUCAAUUGUUGUCCGACAGUUCUGGAACGCCAGUAGGCUUAUUUGCUGCAAGCAAACAAAGAAUCUUCUUUACCAGAUCCUUUUCCGUAAUCUUCAUGUCUACCACAUUAAUAGCUAGACUUGAGUGUGUAUUAUUUAGUGCUAGUGUUUUGUCAUAUGUAGAGCAAUAGCCUUCCACACAGUGUUUCCUUUUGCAAUCAAAUAACGAACACUGAUUUUCAUA